RNAcentral lists this ribosomal RNA (760 nucleotides) under uncultured Bacteroidota bacterium. RNAcentral describes it as "bacterial SSU rRNA". It matches the Rfam family "Bacterial small subunit ribosomal RNA", at positions 152 to 914 of the family's 1533-position model. The record is from RNAcentral. Lineage: Bacteria; Pseudomonadati; Bacteroidota.
GGAAACGAGGAAUAAUGCUCCAUAGUAUCAUCACUUCGCAUGUUGAGAUGAUUAAAGAAUUUCGGUAUAAGAUGGGCAUGCGUCCCAUUAGCUUGUUGGUGAGGUAACGGCUCACCAAGGCUACGAUGGGUAGGGGGCCUGAGAGGGUGGUCCCCCACACUGGUACUGAGACACGGACCAGACUCCUACGGGAGGCAGCAGUGAGGAAUAUUGGUCAAUGGAGGCAACUCUGAACCAGCCAUGCCGCGUGAAGGAUGACGGCCCUAUGGGUUGUAAACUUCUUUUGAAUAGGAAGAAACUUAUCUACGUGUAGAUAACUGACGGUACUAUUAGAAUAAGGAUCGGCUAACUCCGUGCCAGCAGCCGCGGUAAUACGGAGGAUCCAAGCGUUAUCCGGAUUCAUUGGGUUUAAAGGGUCCGUAGGCGGGUCUUUAAGUCAGUGGUGAAAGCCGACAGCUCAACUGUCGAACUGCCAUUGAUACUGGAGACCUUGAGUACAAAUGAAGUAGGCGGAAUGAGUCAUGUAGCGGUGAAAUGCAUAGAUAUGACUCAGAACACCGAUUGCGAAGGCAGCUUACUAACAUGUAACUGACGCUGAGGGACGAAAGCGUGGGGAGCGAACAGGAUUAGAUACCCUGGUAGUCCACGCCGUAAACGAUCAUCACUCGCUGUUGGCGAUAUACUGUCAGCGGCCAAGCGAAAGUAUUAAGUGAUGCACCUGGGGAGUACGCCGGCAACGGUGAAACUCAAAGGAAUUGAC